CGCGUAGGUGGUAGUGUAAGUCUGGGGUGGAAUCCCAGGGCUUAACCCUGGAACUGCCUUGGAAACUGUAUUACUUGAGUCAGUGAGGGGAGGGUAGAAUUCCUGGCGUAGCGGUGAAAUGCGUAGAUAUCAGGAGGAAGGCCUGUGGCGAAGGCGGCCCUCUGGCGCUGGACUGACACUGAGGCGCGAAAGCGUGGGGAGCAAACAGGAUUAGAUACCCUGGUAGUCCACGCCCUAAACGGUGGGCACUAGGUGUAGGGCUCGUAAGGGUUCUGUGCCGAAGGGAAACCAUUAAGUGCCCCGCCUGGGGAGUACGGCCGCAAGGUUGAA
RNAcentral lists this ribosomal RNA (330 nucleotides) under uncultured bacterium. Its description in RNAcentral is "bacterial SSU rRNA". It matches the Rfam family "Bacterial small subunit ribosomal RNA", at positions 568 to 898 of the family's 1533-position model. The record is from RNAcentral.